This 2921-nucleotide ribosomal RNA is filed under the name Staphylococcus aureus W56246. Its description in RNAcentral is "bacterial LSU rRNA". It matches the Rfam family "Bacterial large subunit ribosomal RNA". The record is from RNAcentral. Lineage: Bacteria; Bacillati; Bacillota; Bacilli; Caryophanales; Staphylococcaceae. RNAcentral also lists the same sequence under 2 other names.
UUAAGUUAUUAAGGGCGCACGGUGGAUGCCUUGGCACUAGAAGCCGAUGAAGGACGUUACUAACGACGAUAUGCUUUGGGGAGCUGUAAGUAAGCUUUGAUCCAGAGAUUUCCGAAUGGGGAAACCCAGCAUGAGUUAUGUCAUGUUAUCGAUAUGUGAAUACAUAGCAUAUCAGAAGGCACACCCGGAGAACUGAAACAUCUUAGUACCCGGAGGAAGAGAAAGAAAAUUCGAUUCCCUUAGUAGCGGCGAGCGAAACGGGAAGAGCCCAAACCAACAAGCUUGCUUGUUGGGGUUGUAGGACACUCUAUACGGAGUUACAAAGGACGACAUUAGACGAAUCAUCUGGAAAGAUGAAUCAAAGAAGGUAAUAAUCCUGUAGUCGAAAAUGUUGUCUCUCUUGAGUGGAUCCUGAGUACGACGGAGCACGUGAAAUUCCGUCGGAAUCUGGGAGGACCAUCUCCUAAGGCUAAAUACUCUCUAGUGACCGAUAGUGAACCAGUACCGUGAGGGAAAGGUGAAAAGCACCCCGGAAGGGGAGUGAAAUAGAACCUGAAACCGUGUGCUUACAAGUAGUCAGAGCCCGUUAAUGGGUGAUGGCGUGCCUUUUGUAGAAUGAACCGGCGAGUUACGAUUUGAUGCAAGGUUAAGCAGUAAAUGUGGAGCCGUAGCGAAAGCGAGUCUGAAUAGGGCGUUUAGUAUUUGGUCGUAGACCCGAAACCAGGUGAUCUACCCUUGGUCAGGUUGAAGUUCAGGUAACACUGAAUGGAGGACCGAACCGACUUACGUUGAAAAGUGAGCGGAUGAACUGAGGGUAGCGGAGAAAUUCCAAUCGAACCUGGAGAUAGCUGGUUCUCUCCGAAAUAGCUUUAGGGCUAGCCUCAAGUGAUGAUUAUUGGAGGUAGAGCACUGUUUGGACGAGGGGCCCCUCUCGGGUUACCGAAUUCAGACAAACUCCGAAUGCCAAUUAAUUUAACUUGGGAGUCAGAACAUGGGUGAUAAGGUCCGUGUUCGAAAGGGAAACAGCCCAGACCACCAGCUAAGGUCCCAAAAUAUAUGUUAAGUGGAAAAGGAUGUGGCGUUGCCCAGACAACUAGGAUGUUGGCUUAGAAGCAGCCAUCAUUUAAAGAGUGCGUAAUAGCUCACUAGUCGAGUGACACUGCGCCGAAAAUGUACCGGGGCUAAACAUAUUACCGAAGCUGUGGAUUGUCCUUUGGACAAUGGUAGGAGAGCGUUCUAAGGGCGUUGAAGCAUGAUCGUAAGGACAUGUGGAGCGCUUAGAAGUGAGAAUGCCGGUGUGAGUAGCGAAAGACGGGUGAGAAUCCCGUCCACCGAUUGACUAAGGUUUCCAGAGGAAGGCUCGUCCGCUCUGGGUUAGUCGGGUCCUAAGCUGAGGCCGACAGGCGUAGGCGAUGGAUAACAGGUUGAUAUUCCUGUACCACCUAUAAUCGUUUUAAUCGAUGGGGGGACGCAGUAGGAUAGGCGAAGCGUGCGAUUGGAUUGCACGUCUAAGCAGUAAGGCUGAGUAUUAGGCAAAUCCGGUACUCGUUAAGGCUGAGCUGUGAUGGGGAGAAGACAUUGUGUCUUCGAGUCGUUGAUUUCACACUGCCGAGAAAAGCCUCUAGAUAGAAAAUAGGUGCCCGUACCGCAAACCGACACAGGUAGUCAAGAUGAGAAUUCUAAGGUGAGCGAGCGAACUCUCGUUAAGGAACUCGGCAAAAUGACCCCGUAACUUCGGGAGAAGGGGUGCUCUUUAGGGUUAACGCCCAGAAGAGCCGCAGUGAAUAGGCCCAAGCGACUGUUUAUCAAAAACACAGGUCUCUGCUAAACCGUAAGGUGAUGUAUAGGGGCUGACGCCUGCCCGGUGCUGGAAGGUUAAGAGGAGUGGUUAGCUUCUGCGAAGCUACGAAUCGAAGCCCCAGUAAACGGCGGCCGUAACUAUAACGGUCCUAAGGUAGCGAAAUUCCUUGUCGGGUAAGUUCCGACCCGCACGAAAGGCGUAACGAUUUGGGCACUGUCUCAACGAGAGACUCGGUGAAAUCAUAGUACCUGUGAAGAUGCAGGUUACCCGCGACAGGACGGAAAGACCCCGUGGAGCUUUACUGUAGCCUGAUAUUGAAAUUCGGCACAGCUUGUACAGGAUAGGUAGGAGCCUUUGAAACGUGAGCGCUAGCUUACGUGGAGGCGCUGGUGGGAUACUACCCUAGCUGUGUUGGCUUUCUAACCCGCACCACUUAUCGUGGUGGGAGACAGUGUCAGGCGGGCAGUUUGACUGGGGCGGUCGCCUCCUAAAAGGUAACGGAGGCGCUCAAAGGUUCCCUCAGAAUGGUUGGAAAUCAUUCAUAGAGUGUAAAGGCAUAAGGGAGCUUGACUGCGAGACCUACAAGUCGAGCAGGGUCGAAAGACGGACUUAGUGAUCCGGUGGUUCCGCAUGGAAGGGCCAUCGCUCAACGGAUAAAAGCUACCCCGGGGAUAACAGGCUUAUCUCCCCCAAGAGUUCACAUCGACGGGGAGGUUUGGCACCUCGAUGUCGGCUCAUCGCAUCCUGGGGCUGUAGUCGGUCCCAAGGGUUGGGCUGUUCGCCCAUUAAAGCGGUACGCGAGCUGGGUUCAGAACGUCGUGAGACAGUUCGGUCCCUAUCCGUCGUGGGCGUAGGAAAUUUGAGAGGAGCUGUCCUUAGUACGAGAGGACCGGGAUGGACAUACCUCUGGUGUACCAGUUGUCGUGCCAACGGCAUAGCUGGGUAGCUAUGUGUGGACGGGAUAAGUGCUGAAAGCAUCUAAGCAUGAAGCCCCCCUCAAGAUGAGAUUUCCCAACUUCGGUUAUAAGAUCCCUCAAAGAUGAUGAGGUUAAUAGGUUCGAGGUGGAAGCAUGGUGACAUGUGUAGCUGACGAAUACUAAUCGAUCGAAGACUUAAUCAA